UACAGAGGGUGCGAGCGUUGUCCGGAAUCACUGGGCGUAAAGGGCGCGUAGGCGGCUUGAUAAGCGUGCGGUGAAAGCCCGGGGCUCAACCCCGGGUCGGCCGUGCGAACUGUCGAGCUGGAGCACUGUAGAGGCAGGUGGAAUUCCGGGUGUAGCGGUGGAAUCCGUAGAUAUCAGGAGGAACACCGGUGGCGAAGGCGGGACUCUGGGCCGAUACUGACGCUGAGGAGCGAAAGCGUGGGGAGCAAACAGG
Molecule: ribosomal RNA, 253 nt
Filed under: uncultured bacterium
Lineage: Bacteria
Description: partial 16S ribosomal RNA
Rfam family: Bacterial small subunit ribosomal RNA
Source: RNAcentral